RNAcentral lists this transfer RNA (74 nucleotides) under Paludibacteraceae bacterium. RNAcentral's name for it is "tRNA-Ile". It matches the Rfam family "tRNA". From Rfam's summary of the family: Transfer RNA (tRNA) molecules are approximately 80 nucleotides in length. Their secondary structure includes four short double-helical elements and three loops (D, anti-codon, and T loops). Further hydrogen bonds mediate the characteristic L-shaped molecular structure. tRNAs have two regions of fundamental functional importance: the anti-codon, which is responsible for specific mRNA codon recognition, and the 3' end, to which the tRNAs corresponding amino acid is attached (by aminoacyl-tRNA synthetases). tRNAs cope with the degeneracy of the genetic code in two manners: having more than one tRNA (with a specific anti-codon) for a particular amino acid; and 'wobble' base-pairing, i.e. permitting non-standard base-pairing at the 3rd anti-codon position. RNAcentral also lists the same sequence under 1 other name. Lineage: Bacteria; Pseudomonadati; Bacteroidota; Bacteroidia; Bacteroidales; Paludibacteraceae. The record is from RNAcentral.
ACUCUUGUAGCGCAAUUGGUUAGCGCGUCUGCCUGAUACGCAGGAGGUUGCUGGUUCGAUUCCAGCCAAGGGUA